Molecule: ribosomal RNA, 645 nt
Filed under: uncultured bacterium
Lineage: Bacteria
Description: bacterial SSU rRNA
Rfam family: Bacterial small subunit ribosomal RNA
Source: RNAcentral
CACAUGCAAGUCGAACGCGAAAAGGGGGCAACCCCUGAGUAGAGUGGCGAACGGGUGAGUAAUACAUCGGAACGUGUCCAGUAGCGGGGGAUAACCUCUCGAAAGAGAGGCUAAUACCGCAUACGACCUACGGGUGAAAGAGGGGGAUCGCAAGACCUCUCACUAUUGGAGCGGCCGAUGUCGGAUUAGCUAGUUGGUGGGGUAACGGCCUACCAAGGCUACGAUCCGUAGCUGGUCUGAGAGGACGACCAGCCACACUGGAACUGAGACACGGUCCAGACUCCUACGGGAGGCAGCAGUGGGGAAUUUUGGACAAUGGGCGAAAGCCUGAUCCAGCCAUGCCGCGUGAGUGAAGAAGGCCUUCGGGUUGUAAAGCUCUUUCGGCGGGGACGAAAAGGUGCGUGAUAACACCGCGCAUCCAUGACGGUACCCGCAGAAGAAGCACCGGCUAACUACGUGCCAGCAGCCGCGGUAAUACGUAGGGUGCAGGCGUUAAUCGGAAUUACUGGGCGUAAAGCGUGCGCAGGCGGUCUAUUAAGACAGGUGUGAAAGCCCCGGGCUUAACCUGGGAACUGCGCUUGUAACUGAUAGGCUGGAGUGUGGCAGAGGGGGGUGGAAUUCCACGUGUAGCAGUGAAAUGCGUUU